GACGAACGCUGGCGGCGUGCUUAACACAUGCAAGUCGAACGGAAAGGCCCUGCUUUUGUGGGGUGCUCGAGUGGCGAACGGGUGAGUAACAUGUGAGUAACCUGCCCUUGACUUUGGGAUAACUUCAGGAAACUGGGGCUAAUACCGGAUAGGAGCUCCUGCUGCAUGGUGGGGGUUGGAAAGUUUCGGCGGUUGGGGAUGGACUCGCGGCUUAUCAGCUUGUUGGUGGGGUAGUGGCUUACCAAGGCUUUGACGGGUAGCCGGCCUGAGAGGGUGACCGGCCACAUGGGGACUGAGAUAGGGCCCAGACUCCUACGGGAGGCAGCAGUGGGGAAUAUUGCACAAUGGGCGGAAGCCUGAUGCAGAAACGCCGCGUGCGGGAUGACGGCCUUCGGGUUGUAAACCGCUUUCGCCUGUGACGAAGCGUGAGUGACGGUAAUGGGUAAAGAAGCACCAGCUAACUACGUG
RNAcentral lists this ribosomal RNA (468 nucleotides) under uncultured bacterium. RNAcentral's name for it is "partial 16S ribosomal RNA". It matches the Rfam family "Bacterial small subunit ribosomal RNA", at positions 28 to 507 of the family's 1533-position model. The record is from RNAcentral.